RNAcentral lists this transfer RNA (73 nucleotides) under Clostridia bacterium. Its description in RNAcentral is "tRNA-Gln". It matches the Rfam family "tRNA". Rfam says of the family: Transfer RNA (tRNA) molecules are approximately 80 nucleotides in length. Their secondary structure includes four short double-helical elements and three loops (D, anti-codon, and T loops). Lineage: Bacteria; Bacillati; Bacillota; Clostridia. The record is from RNAcentral.
UGGGGUAUAGCCAAGUUGGUAAGGCAUGGGACUUUGACUCCCAUAUUCGCUGGUUCAAGUCCAGCUACCCCAA